UCCUGUAAAAUUUCAGCACUCUAGCACCACAUUGAGCUCCGUCACUAGUAUAACCGUCAGUCACUGCGUCCACAUCAGACCCUCUAUUUUUAGACAGAGCCUGUUUCAAAUAGGUUCCUAUCUCCAUUAGGACUCUUUGAAACAGGCGGAACUACUUUAGAAAGAAAAUACUCAAUCCGACCACAUCAGCAUACAUGACAACAGUCCCUAUAUGGUUGGGACAGUCCCCAUUUCCUAGCAAAGGAAGAAAGUCCCCUUAUUUACUCAUAGGAAAAAAAAAUCAUUUAUUCUGCACAGUAGAGUUAUUGAAAACCACACGCUGUGCUCUUCGUGCGGCUGACACAUCUGCUGAUCACUAACUUAUACAAAGAUGACCCUCCCGUUCCCGCCCCACCGGAGAAGAGCGUCCCGCUGAACAGUUUCCAAAUAUUAGCAAGGGGAGAGUGACAUUAACUUCAUUAUUAUUAUUAUUAUAAAGAUUACAAUUACUAUUAGUAUUAUUAAAAUAAACAUGAUAUAGGCUACCUCGAAUGUUGCUCCAUCUGAAAAUGAGUUUUAAAUGCAGCACCGGUGUAGUAGGCUAUAUCACAACAUUCUCAACGUAAUUUUCUACCCUCACUGGACUAUUUGAGUUCACUGCUGUCACAGCCGCUAACGCUGCAGUAUUCGUUGCUGAGUAUACUGUCAUGUAAGCAUGAUGCUGUCUAUCUUCCAGAAACUCCUGCAAAACUAACCCCACUGCAACUUUGUCCGCCAUUUUUUAAAACGUUCGCUAACGUACCGUUCAAUAAAACCUAACUUCCGCCUCGUAGUGCCACAAAAAAAGCGCUCUGUUUAUUGAACACAGCCCAGGAGUUCAGGGAAGUCAGAGAGGGAGAAUCUCCACCAAUCAGGGGCUCGGCUAGCCCGAUUAGUGGUACCCAGUUGCAACAUUGUUGGCACAAACCAAGGGACGAAAUGUUGCAACCAUCGGGAUCGAGAGCAGGAAGCGGUGGGGGGAAUAAGUACUGCUGAGACAGAGACAAGCUGGAGUGAGAGAAAGAGCACAGAAGAAACAGCCAAGGAGAGCAGAAGAGAAGCGAUACUACAGGAACAACCAGAGACUGCACUUAUUGACUGUAGCACACGGCUGAAACAGUGUGUUUUUGGACUUUCUUUUCUUUUAUUAUUUGUCACAGUCUGGGUAGCAGUGCACUGCUCGGCUGUAGUUGUACCACUGGCUGAAUUUGAGAACCUGCAAAUAUCAGUCUGAGCCUGCUUCAUUUUCCUACAAUGGUGAUUAGCAGGGAUCCUAGGAAUCUGUUUGCUGCAGAAUAACACAGAAAAACACAGAUUUUCUAUGCUGUUGGAGAAUUUUUAGUUUUACAUUUGGGGCGGGGCAAAAACCAUGCAAGGCUUUUUUUUUGUUUGUUUGAUAAUCAAAUCAUACACUUAUCAUAUAUAAUCAUCAACACAGGCAAUUUUGCUUUACAUUUACGUAAACAUACUUGUUUAAUAAAACUGCUUCCGGUGUACAGAGGUCAAGGUUGAACGAGGCACGUUCUUGUUGAUAAGUGGCUUGCAGUUUACUUCAGUAUCCAGACGUGCAUUGUUGUUACUGAACAAGCUGUUAAAGAUGCCAGAAACAAUCGGGUCAAUGAGUUUGGCAGUAGUCAUCCAGAUGACAAAGACUAACUUGGAGAUAAACUAAUAUGAAUACUAUUUUUUGGUUUGUAUUAUUACUACACAGGCGUAUUUGUAAUGUUUAAUGUAAAAUGGUAAGUUUGUUUAUAUUAUUGAUUGAUGGCACUGGUGAGCUUGCAACUUCCUUAGAAUUUAAAACUGUACCAGCAAUAAAUACUUCCCGUUUUAAGUGUUAUUCGGUAGUACUGUUAUACUAAACAUCCACUAAAUGGCAGUGUUACGGUAUAACUGUGAAAAUACAGGACUGAUAAAGAGUCUUCAAUAGAUAAUCAGCGUGGUGUGCAGUCAUAACAAUACAGUGACAUCAUUUAUUUACUGGCUGGUUAUACUUUUUUCCUUAAUACAAGUUAACAGUUCCAAUAAAAUUCAUUUGUCAAUUACUGUUUAAAAAAAAAAAAUAUAACAUGUUGUGAUAUAAAAUAAUUACAGCAUGCAUUUUCUUAUCACGCCUUACAUUUUUCAGUGCUGUAUAGACAUUCUGUGUCGUUAUCUGUUAGUGCUUCAGCUUUAUUUGGAUGAUUGCCUUUACCCUGUUUUAAUUUACCGUUCCUCUCCAGUUUGUGAUACAAAUGUACCAGCUUUACAUAAUUAGUUUUUUUACGUAUUCUCAUUUUGUUGAUCAUCAAUGAACUUUUCUCUACUGUGGGUGUUGUCAAGUGAUUGAAAAUGAGACAUUUUGUGUUUGAAUUAAAAGUGGUCUCGAGGAGUUGAAUGGGUCAAAGUUAAAGUAUAUUUUCCUCUAGAGGAAUUAUGACAUUUUGAUGUCACUACUGUGCUAUUAUUAUUAUUAU
Molecule: long non-coding RNA, 2474 nt
Organism: Acipenser ruthenus (sterlet)
Lineage: Eukaryota; Metazoa; Chordata; Actinopteri; Acipenseriformes; Acipenseridae
Exons: 3
Source: RefSeq, a predicted model, not a curated record